GGUGGCACAGUGGUUAAGCAUUUGACUACUAAUCAAAAAGUUUGGCAGUUCAAAUCUGCCAACCA
Molecule: transfer RNA, 65 nt
Filed under: Loxodonta africana (African savanna elephant)
Lineage: Eukaryota; Metazoa; Chordata; Mammalia; Proboscidea; Elephantidae
Rfam family: tRNA
About the family: Transfer RNA (tRNA) molecules are approximately 80 nucleotides in length. Their secondary structure includes four short double-helical elements and three loops (D, anti-codon, and T loops).
Source: Rfam by way of RNAcentral